AAAACUUAUGAGCACCUGAGAUUCUGGAUGGGGGCAGUUGGCCAACUCGGCCUUAAUUUUCUCUCUCUUUUCCCAGGAGAAUGGGAACUCCCCCAAUGGCAAGCCACUGAACGGUGCUCGGCAAGAGACCAAGAGAGUAAGCGCUCAAAAAAUACUAUCGUCAACAUCACGGCAGUCGGACCUCUGGAGCGGGAGACCCUCUGCUUACUCGGACGGGAUCCUUAGGCACGACAACGUUGAGAUGUCUGGUCCUGAGCCUCCUUGUCCUCCAUCCCAGGAAGCACGAGAUAACGGACAGGAACGAUAUCCGGAGAGCAAACCAUAAGAAUCGAGGCCAAGAACGGGUGGGACCGUCACCUACGCUAUUGGAUCGAGAAUUCCCGAACCCUGCAGGAUGGCAGUGAUGGUACACCGGUACUUUGAUUCUUCCAACAUACGGUAGUGAGCGUCACUGAAAGCCAGUAAAAUUGAAUAAGUACCCUUCUCUCUGC
This is a long non-coding RNA of Ornithorhynchus anatinus (platypus), 491 nucleotides long. RefSeq lists it as uncharacterized. The transcript is spliced from 3 exons. NCBI's taxonomy places the organism in Eukaryota, Metazoa, Chordata, Mammalia, Monotremata, Ornithorhynchidae. The record is from RefSeq and is a predicted model, not a curated record.